This 582-nucleotide ribosomal RNA is filed under the name uncultured bacterium. Its description in RNAcentral is "partial 16S ribosomal RNA". It matches the Rfam family "Bacterial small subunit ribosomal RNA", at positions 355 to 1376 of the family's 1533-position model. The record is from RNAcentral.
UGAGGAAUAUUGGUCAAUGGGCGAGAGCCUGAACCAGCCAAAUCGCGUGAAGGAGGACUGCCUUAUGGGUUGUAAACUUCUUUUAUACAGGAAUAAAAAAGGGGACGUGUCCCUUAUUGCAUGUACUGUAUGAAUAAGCAUCGGCUAACUCCGUGCCAGCAGCCGCGGUAAUACGGAGGAUGCGAGCGUUAUCCGGAUUUAUUGGGUUUAAAGGGUGCGCAGGCGGGCUUUUAAGUCAGCGGUGAAAUCUCGGGGCUUAACUCCGAAACUGCCGUUGAAACUGGGAGUCUUGAGUAUGGAUGAAGUAGGCGGAAUUCGUUGUGUAGCGGUGACAUGCUUAGAUAUAACGAGGAACUCCGAUUGCGUAGGCAGCUUACUAAGCCAUAACUGACGCUCAAGCACGAAAGCGUGGGGAUCAAAACAGAUUAGAUACCCUGGUAGUCCACGCCCGUAAAACGAUGAUUACUAGUUGUAUGCGAUAUACCGUAUGUGACUAAGCGAAAAGCGAUAAGUAAUCCACCUGGGGAGUACGCCGGCAACGGUGAAACUUAAAUGAAUUGACGGGGUCAUAGCUGUUUCCUG